UUCAAAUGAGUUUGUAAGAGGGAGAGCCAGCAAAGGAUUUGGCUAUUUAUCAUCAGAGUAGCAAUGAAAGGGGAAACGGGCUGGUGUGAAAACUAGGGAGGUGAGAAGUGCUUCUGAGAACAGAGGUGAAAUGAGAGAAAUGAUUGAAAGCACCAGACUGUGAUGCAGUCUUCUCCCCCUCAAAAAAGAUUGCCAGGGCUGGCACUAUAACCAAGCUGAAACCGAGAGGGAGUUCCAGCUGAAUGGAAAUGGUGCAAUUGGUUCAGUUUGUUCCACAUGCCUCCCUGAUCCAUUGUCGGGCUGACGUGCAGGCCUGAUGGAUGGCAAGACUCACCUGCAUGAAACAUGUCCUUAAUACUCGGCUGUUGUGUGAAUGUAUCGUGGCAUGUAAAGUUCAAAUAUAUCCGUGUCACAGUAAACCCAGAUGACAACUGUCAGCAUGAAUGUGGCAUUGGCAGCACUGCAGCAGGUCAGCAAAAAAGUUUUUGUUUAGGGCCAUCACUCAUCUUUUGAUCAAAUAACUCCCUUUAAUACAUUUUUUAAAUGGGUCUUUGUAGCUUAAACACCGAAAUGCUUCCCAAAUAUUGAAAGAAAUACUGGGCGAUUUGUAACCUUUUUUGUCGAACAAUAUUUAAAUGAAUGAAAUGAACGAUAUGUGUAUGAUAUUAUUUAACUACAAGUAUGCGAAAUGUUCACCGACAGAAGCAUUUAUGCAUGGAUAUAAAUUUCCCUGGCAUACUCCUGUUUCCGGAAUGGGCUUCUUCCUCACAAUAAACUAUACUUUUGUACACUUUC
Long non-coding RNA from Anguilla anguilla (European eel), 795 nucleotides. RefSeq lists it as uncharacterized. The record is from RefSeq and is a predicted model, not a curated record. Lineage: Eukaryota; Metazoa; Chordata; Actinopteri; Anguilliformes; Anguillidae. The transcript is spliced from 2 exons.